RNAcentral lists this ribosomal RNA (604 nucleotides) under uncultured bacterium. RNAcentral describes it as "bacterial SSU rRNA". The stretch from base 1 to 517 matches the Rfam family "Bacterial small subunit ribosomal RNA", at positions 338 to 873 of the family's 1533-position model. The record is from RNAcentral.
CCUACGGGGAGGCAGCAGUGGGGAAUCUUGCGCAAUGGGCGAAAGCCUGACGCAGCCAUGCCGCGUGAAUGAUGAAGGUCUUAGGAUUGUAAAAUUCUUUCACCGGGGACGAUAAUGACGGUACCCGGAGAAGAAGCCCCGGCUAACUUCGUGCCAGCAGCCGCGGUAAUACGAAGGGGGCUAGCGUUGCUCGGAAUUACUGGGCGUAAAGGGAGCGUAGGCGGAUAGUUUAGUCAGAGGUGAAAGCCCAGGGCUCAACCUUGGAAUUGCCCUUGAUACUGGCUAUCUUGAGUACGGAAGAGGUAUGUGGAACUCCGAGUGUAGAGGUGAAAUUCGUAGAUAUUCGGAAGAACACCAGUGGCGAAGGCGACAUACUGGUCCGUUACUGACGCUGAGGCUCGAAAGCGUGGGGAGCAAACAGGAUUAGAUACCCUGGUAGUCCACGCUGUAAACGAUGAGUGCUAGUUGUCGGCAUGCAUGCAUGUCGGUGACGCAGCUACGCAUAAGACACUCCGCCGUCGGGGAGGUACGGUCGGCGAAGAAUUAAACUAACAAAGAAGUAGUACGCGNGAGAGAGCGACGACGACGACGACGGAGGAGGAGG